ACACCCUCAAGCUCUGCUUGGUGUUGGGGCGUUGUCGCUUCCCCGCCUCCCCGGCGACAUGGCGACACCCCUCAAAGUCAUUGGCGGCCUUUCUGCCCGGCUCCCCGCGCAGCAGUUUCGCGCUUCGGGAGGCCCCUGGGUCGGCUGGCAUCCAUCAAGCUAAUCCUUUCAC
RNAcentral lists this unclassified non-coding RNA (172 nucleotides) under uncultured Onygenales. RNAcentral describes it as "sequence contains ITS2". Lineage: Eukaryota; Fungi; Ascomycota; Eurotiomycetes; Onygenales. The record is from RNAcentral.